Molecule: unclassified non-coding RNA, 336 nt
Filed under: Hevea brasiliensis (rubber tree)
Lineage: Eukaryota; Viridiplantae; Streptophyta; Magnoliopsida; Malpighiales; Euphorbiaceae
Source: RNAcentral
GGGGAAAUCAAGGACUCUACUAACAUAAGUACACACUAGUAACUUUGUACAUUGCCAAUUGGGUUAAUGGAGGCAAUGCCAAUUGCCAAGCACAUGCAUUGCCUUGCUCAUACAAAUUUGCAUCUUCAAGAGGACUUUCAGCACUUGUGAUGUGGAGAAAGUUACAAAAAUUCGUGAGAUCAUAUAUGUAUAUUCAAAUUUCUUUAUAAAAUUUUAUUUGAAAACUAGCUUUGUGUUAUGAUAUACAAAACCAACUUUCAGAUGGAGAUACUGCGACCUUUGAUUUACAAUUGAUUAACCUCCUAAUCAACCAGAUAAAUUAGGUGCCAAACUCAU